This 550-nucleotide ribosomal RNA is filed under the name Cherax cairnsensis. RNAcentral describes it as "partial 16S ribosomal RNA". It matches the Rfam family "Archaeal large subunit ribosomal RNA", at positions 1915 to 2701 of the family's 2987-position model. Lineage: Eukaryota; Metazoa; Arthropoda; Malacostraca; Decapoda; Parastacidae. The record is from RNAcentral.
AAACAUGUCUGUAUGAUAGGUGUAUAGAGUCUGGCCUGCCCACUGGGGGUUUAAAGGCCGCGGUAUUAUGACCGUGCGAAGGUAGCAUAAUCAUUAGUCUUUUAAUUGGGGGCUGGUAUGAAUGGUUGGACGAGAAAUUAGCUGUCUUAAGUUUUGAGAAUUGAAUUUAACUUUUAAGUGAAAGGGCUUAAAUGGGCCGGGGGGACGAUAAGACCCUAUAAAGUUUGUACACUAAACUAGUUUAGAGUGAUUUAGGUUUAUAAAGUUUACUAUUGGGGAGGUGUUUAGUUGGGGCGACUAGGAUAUAAGUUAUCUAACUGUUUCUUUGUUGUAAUCAGAAAUAUUUGAGUUUAUGAUCCUUUUUUAGGAUUAUAGAGUAAAUUACUUUAGGGAUAACAGCGUAAUUUUUUUUGAGAGUUCUUAUCGAUAAAAAAGUUUGCGACCUCGAUGUUGAAUUAAAAUUUCUUUGUAAUGCAGCAGUUACAUGAGAAGGUCUGUUCGACCUUUAAAAUUUUACAUGAUUUGAGUUCAGACCGGCGCGAGCCAGGUG